This 78-nucleotide transfer RNA is filed under the name Actinomycetota bacterium. RNAcentral's name for it is "tRNA-Trp". It matches the Rfam family "tRNA". Rfam says of the family: Transfer RNA (tRNA) molecules are approximately 80 nucleotides in length. The record is from RNAcentral. Lineage: Bacteria; Bacillati; Actinomycetota.
AGGGCGGUAGCUCAGUCCGGUCAGAGCGCUGGUCUCCAAAACCAGUGGUCGGGGGUUCGAAUCCCUCCCGCCCUGCCA